GAUGAACGCUGGCGGCGUGCCUAAUACAUGCAAGUCGAGCGAACAGACGAGGAGCUUGCUCCUCUGACGUUAGCGGCGGACGGGUGAGUAACACGUGGAUAACCUACCUAUAAGACUGGGAUAACUUCGGGAAACCGGAGCUAAUACCGGAUAAUAUAUUGAACCGCAUGGUUCAAUAGUGAAAGACGGUUUUGCUGUCACUUAUAUAUGGAUCCGCGCCGCAUUAGCUAGUUGGUAAGGUAACGGCUUACCAAGGCGACGAUGCGUAGCCGACCUGAGAGGGUGAUCGGCCACACUGGAACUGAGACACGGUCCAGACUCCUACGGGAGGCAGCAGUAGGGAAUCUUCCGCAAUGGGCGAAAGCUUGACGGAGCAACGCCGCGUGAGUGAUGAAGGUCUUCGGAUCGUAAAACUCUGUUAUUAGGGAAGAACAAAUGUGUAAGUAACUAUGCACGUCUUGACGGUACCUAAUCAGAAAGCCACGGCUAGCUACGUG
RNAcentral lists this ribosomal RNA (497 nucleotides) under uncultured bacterium. Its description in RNAcentral is "partial 16S ribosomal RNA". It matches the Rfam family "Bacterial small subunit ribosomal RNA", at positions 28 to 507 of the family's 1533-position model. The record is from RNAcentral.